GAGCAGAUCAGGUUUGCGAAUUCUCGCGUGAAUAGUGACUUUUCAUGCAUGAACAAUAGUUUUUCACAGCUGUUUUACCAUGACAUAAUUGUGAUUAAGGCGUUUCAAUUCUGUUUUAGUAGGUUGAAAACAUCUUUUAAAAUUCUAGUAUUAAGUUUAAUACUAACUUAUUAACUAAAAAUGAUAUUGUUUCUCUUUAACUUCUCUGCAUAACAUAUGUAGCAGUUACAAGUUAUCAAUUGAAAGCAAAGCAAUUUUCUUUCUUUUGCUGAUUUAAGUAACUUUUGAGCUCACUCUUCAAGCAAUACUCCAAUUCCUUUGGAGCUCACUUUUGAGCUGUGCAAGCUGAUUUUCAGGCAGGACCACACUCACUAAUCGACCGACGUUAUUAGUACUUGCAGGAAGCACCAAAACCAGCCCUUCAUCACCAACCCCACUAACACCAUAAUUUGCAUAAACUGGUUUUUGUCCCUUCAAUUCAAGCCUAUAAAUCUCUGCCUCUUCCAAGUUCAUGAAUGUGAGUUUUGCUCCGUAAGCUAUGAAGUCCGAAUUUAUCCCGCCCUCCUCCCUCCCUGUCAUCUCCUCAAUUGCACCAUUCUCUUCUGCCCUUUUGUUCAUCAUCAGCUCUACCAAAUCUGACACUUCAGCUUCUGCAACCAAGAAAUUUGCUUCAACUGUGCUCCACACCAUGUCAUUAGUCCGAAUUUCGAAUUCCCCCUUGUGCGCAUUUUUGGUACAAAUUGUCACCCUUCUUAUCUGCUCUGAGCUUUCCUUAAUCUUUGACAAGGUUUUCCAUAUGAUAGCAGAAAGAACUUCAAAAGCAGAGGAGACUUUUGCCGAUUGGUUGCUUGGAGGACAAGAAAUGUUUGAGACCAAAUGAUCAAGUUUCUCAGCAGAAACAUGAAAAAUGUGUUUCCUCAUCUUGUAAUUGUUGGGUGUCACCCAGUAAUCACCUACUGGAUCAACCCUUUUCAGAGAAAAUGGUGUUUUGGGAACUGAAGAAAGUGAUGGGAAUUCAUGUUUUCCGGGAGGUGGCACGUGGAGGAGCUUCCGCGGCACGUGACCGGCCAUGAUCUUCCCCCACAUGUUCAUGAAGUCUGAGGCAGAAAACGCAUCUCCAAGGACGUUGGCCCAGCUGAGUCCCACUGCCAUUCCUCCACAUUUGAACCAAGUGAACUGCUUGCAAAUUACCACAUGAAAAAACGACCAUGUAAAUAUGUGCAAAGAGGAUUCAUUUGUUCCUAAUUAGUCUAAAGUCCAGACCCUUUCCCGGCAGAUCAUCUAAUCAAUAUGGUUGAAAAUAACAAAACUUGUCCAAUCAGGUCUCUGUCAAAAGUUCCACGUAGCGAUUGUGAUUUACGCCUAUUUCUGGCAUGUGCUUAUCACACAUACACAAUUAGAUAAUUAUGAAAAAAAGACGCGUAUAACUCAUAUCAUUGUAGCUACUAAUUAUACGUUACUUAUACGAUUAUAUAUGAUUGUACUCCCAGCCUAAAUGACAGAUUCUCUCUUAAAACCACGACACCACAUCGUCAUGACUUCAAUCAAUCACAACGAAGUGUUACGAUUUAUUUUUCCUUUGCUUCUCUCUCCUAUUAGUUUCUACUAAUUGCAACCGGAGUAGAUGCCACUAUAAUUGUGCUUGAAUGAUUGAGAGAUUUUCUCCUCUGCACGCCUACUCCAGUUAUGAUUGAGUAGGCACCAAGAUCUACAAAUUUAGAAAUACAGCUAUUUUUGUUGUAUUGGAUUUAUACAAUUUUUUUUGAAUUAACGAAUAGCAUGUACAUAUACUGAAAUACCAAGAACAAAAGAUGAGCUAAAACAAGUACAUAGUAUAGUUAUUACCUGUAAAAAGACCAAAGGAGAGUAACCAAGAUCAGGACCAAGGGAUUGAUUAUAAGCAAGCCCAUCAAAGAGAGAAGAGUCCUCCACAGCCCUGGCGAACCAUUCAUCAACUGUUUCUUCAGAAUGCGCUUCUACAAUUCUCACACCGCCGUCGUUACACUUGAUGAACGGCCUCCCCG
Molecule: long non-coding RNA, 2024 nt
Filed under: Malus domestica (apple)
Lineage: Eukaryota; Viridiplantae; Streptophyta; Magnoliopsida; Rosales; Rosaceae
Description: long non-coding RNA (MDOM_LNC015813)
Source: RNAcentral